UGUAGUUAAGUAUUGUAGUUUUUAAGGUGAGAGUUGUAGUUUAGGACGGAGACUCCAGACUAAAAGCAUAGAUGUAGUUAAGUAUUGUAGUUUUUAAGGUGAGAGUUGUAGUUUAGGACGGAGACUCCAGACUAAAAGCAUAGAUGUAGUUAAGUAUUGUAGUUUUUAAGGUGAGAGUUGUAGUUUAGGACGGAGACUCCAGACUAAAAGCAUAGAUGUAGUUAAGUAUUGUAGUUUUUAAGGUGAGAGUUGUAGUUUAGGACGGAGACUCCAGACUAAAAGCAUAGAUGUAGUUAAGUAUUGUAGUUUUUAAGGUGAGAGUUGUAGUUUAGGACGGA
Molecule: long non-coding RNA, 338 nt
Organism: Oncorhynchus keta (chum salmon)
Lineage: Eukaryota; Metazoa; Chordata; Actinopteri; Salmoniformes; Salmonidae
Exons: 2
Source: RefSeq, a predicted model, not a curated record